UACAGAGGGUGCGAGCGUUAAUCGGAUUUACUGGGCGUAAAGCGCGCGUAGGCGGCGCGGUAUGUCGUGCGUGAAAUCUCCCGGCUUAACUGGGAGGGGCCGUGCGAAACUGCCGGGCUUGAGGUCGGAAGGGGAAAGUGGAAUUCCGGGUGUAGUGGUGGAAUACGUAGAUAUCCGGAGGAACACCAGCGGCGAAGGCGGCUUUCUGGUCCGAUACUGACGCUGAGGUGCGAAAGCGUGGGGAGCGAUCCGG
RNAcentral lists this ribosomal RNA (253 nucleotides) under uncultured bacterium. RNAcentral's name for it is "partial 16S ribosomal RNA". It matches the Rfam family "Bacterial small subunit ribosomal RNA", at positions 524 to 776 of the family's 1533-position model. The record is from RNAcentral.